This 468-nucleotide ribosomal RNA is filed under the name uncultured bacterium. RNAcentral describes it as "partial 16S ribosomal RNA". It matches the Rfam family "Bacterial small subunit ribosomal RNA", at positions 36 to 507 of the family's 1533-position model. The record is from RNAcentral.
UCCUCCCUCUGGCGGCGUGCUUAACACAUGCAAGUCGAACGGAAAGGCCCUGCUUUUGUGGGGUGCUCGAGUGGCGAACGGGUGAGUAACACGUGGGUAACCUGCCCUUGACUUUGGGAUAACUUCAGGAAACUGGGGCUAAUACCGGAUAGGAGCUCCUGCUGCAUGGUGGGGGUUGGAAAGUUUCGGCGGUUGGGGAUGGACUCGCGGCUUAUCAGCUUGUUGGUGGGGUAGUGGCUUACCAAGGCUUUGACGGGUAGCCGGCCUGAGAGGGUGACCGGCCACAUUGGGACUGAGAUACGGCCCAGACUCCUACGGGAGGCAGCAGUGGGGAAUAUUGCACAAUGGGCGGAAGCCUGAUGCAGCAACGCCGCGUGCGGGAUGACGGCCUUCGGGUUGUAAACCGCUUUCGCCUGUGACGAAGCGUGAGUGACGGUAAUGGGUAAAGAAGCACCGGCUAACUACGUG